This 248-nucleotide ribosomal RNA is filed under the name uncultured Lachnospiraceae bacterium. Its description in RNAcentral is "partial 16S ribosomal RNA". It matches the Rfam family "Bacterial small subunit ribosomal RNA", at positions 524 to 771 of the family's 1533-position model. Lineage: Bacteria; Bacillati; Bacillota; Clostridia; Lachnospirales; Lachnospiraceae. The record is from RNAcentral.
UACGUAGGGGGCGAGCGUUAUCCGGAUUUACUGGGUGUAAAGGGAGCGUAGACGGCAUGGCAAGUCUGGAGUGAAAGCCCGGGGCCCAACCCCGGGACUGCUCUGGAAACUGCCAGGCUAGAGUGCUGGAGAGGUAAGUGGAAUUCCUAGUGUAGCGGUGAAAUGCAUAGAUAUCACGCAGAACUCCGAUUGCGAAGGCGGCUUCCUGGUCUGCAAUUGACACUGAGGCGCGAAAGCGUGGGGAGCAA